Molecule: ribosomal RNA, 253 nt
Filed under: uncultured prokaryote
Description: partial 16S ribosomal RNA
Rfam family: Bacterial small subunit ribosomal RNA
Source: RNAcentral
UACGUAGGGAGCAAGCGUUGUCCGGAAUCAUUGGGCGUAAAGAGCGUGUAGGCGGACCAGUAAGUCGGUUGUGAAAGUCAAGGGCUCAACCCUUGGAUGCCGGCCGAUACUGCUGGUCUAGAAUCCGGAAGAGGCGAGUGGAAUUCCUGGUGUAGCGGUGAAAUGCGCAGAUAUCAGGAGGAACACCAAUGGCGAAGGCAGCUCGCUGGGACGGUAUUGACGCUGAGACGCGAAAGCGUGGGGAGCAAACAGG